This 392-nucleotide ribosomal RNA is filed under the name uncultured bacterium. Its description in RNAcentral is "bacterial SSU rRNA". It matches the Rfam family "Bacterial small subunit ribosomal RNA", at positions 28 to 417 of the family's 1533-position model. The record is from RNAcentral.
GACGAACGCUGGCGGCGUGCUUAACACAUGCAAGUCGAGCGGUAAGGCCCUUUCGGGGGUACGACGAGCGGCGAACGGGUGAGUAACACGUGGGUGACCUGCCCUUAGCUCUGGGAAUAAGCCUGGGAAACUGGGUCUAAUACCGGAUAUGACUCCAUGACGCAUGUUGUGGGGUGGAAAGCCUUGUGCGGCUAGGGAUGGGCCCGCGGCCUAUCAGCUUGUUGGUGGGGUGAUGGCCACCAAGGCGACGACGGGUAGCCGGCCUGAGAGGGCGACCGGCCACACUGGGACGUGAGACACGGCCCAGACUCCUACGGGAGGGCAGCAGUGGGGAAGUCUUGCGCAAUGGGCGAAAGCCUGACGCAGCGACGCCGCGUGAGGGAUGACGGCCU